This 510-nucleotide ribosomal RNA is filed under the name uncultured bacterium. Its description in RNAcentral is "partial 16S ribosomal RNA". It matches the Rfam family "Bacterial small subunit ribosomal RNA", at positions 28 to 507 of the family's 1533-position model. The record is from RNAcentral.
GACGAACGCUGGCGGCGUGCUUAACACAUGCAAGUCGAACGAAGAGCGAUGGAAGCUUGCUUCUAUCAAUCUUAGUGGCGAACGGGUGAGUAACGCGUAAUCAACCUGCCCUUCAGAGGGGGACAACAGUUGGAAACGACUGCUAAUACCGCAUACGAUCUAAUCUCGGCAUCGAGGAAAGAUGAAAGGUGGCCUCUAUUUAUAAGCUAUCACUGAAGGAGGGGAUUGCGUCUGAUUAGCUAGUUGGAGGGGUAACGGCCCACCAAGGCGAUGAUCAGUAGCCGGUCUGAGAGGAUGAACGGCCACAUUGGGACUGAGACACGGCCCAGACUCCUACGGGAGGCAGCAGUGGGGAAUCUUCCGCAAUGGACGAAAGUCUGACGGAGCAACGCCGCGUGAGUGAUGACGGCCUUCGGGUUGUAAAGCUCUGUUAAUCGGGACGAAAGGCCUUCUUGCGAACAGUUAGAAGGAUUGACGGUACCGGAAUAGAAAGCCACGGCUAACUAUGUG